UGCACUAAAAAGCUUUGGGGUGGUCCACCAGACCUCAAACCAGAUGUGAUGCUGGUGAACCACAAAUCAAGAGUUAUUGAUUUUGGUUGGUCUCUCAUGACCUCACAGGACACACAUGAACUCCCAGCUCCUUGGUUACAGGCCUCCCUGUCCCAGAGGCCAUCAAUAUGUGGGAUGUUGGAUGCAUGCUUUUUUUCCUCUACCUCCCCAACAACUCAUUUGCAAUCGACUGCGAGUACCAGGAAGAGAAUUAAUGUUGGAUGUCGGCUGGGGAAGAGCCCAGGGUGGAGGAGGCUUCAGCCAUACCACUGUUAGAUGACACAGACUCAGCUGCUCCUCACUCCAGUGACAGGGUUGAAGUCCUGGAUCCCCCAUGUGAUGGGACUGCAGCUGCAGACAUUGAUGCUGCUGGCUCAACUUCAGAGGAAUCAGCUGAAAGCCACCACGUACCUGAUCCAGCUCAAGAGAUACAGAUCUUUGAAGAGACUCAUCCUGCCAGAGUCAGCAGUCUGAAGAGGAUGAGGAUGUUUCUGGGCAGGGUUGUAAAGUGUGGAAAGAGAGUGUUCGGAUACAAAGGAACCUGGACGAUGGCACUCAAUUUAAACAAUUGUAAAUAGUUUAAAUGGUGUAAAUGAAGUGUGAAGUUGCAUUUUCAUGUAGUUUUGUUUAACCAACUAUUUUAACUCUAUUUUUUUUUU
This is a long non-coding RNA of Paralichthys olivaceus (Japanese flounder), 698 nucleotides long. RefSeq lists it as uncharacterized. The record is from RefSeq and is a predicted model, not a curated record. Lineage: Eukaryota; Metazoa; Chordata; Actinopteri; Pleuronectiformes; Paralichthyidae.